CGCAUCUGUGCAUGCAGCAUAUCAAUAAGCGGAGGAAAAGAAACUAACAAGGAUUCCCCUAGUAACGGCGAGUGAAGCGGGAAGAGCUCAAAUUUGAAAUCUUAAAGGGUUUCCCUUUACGAAUUGUAGUUUAAAGAAGUGUUUUCUGUUGAGGUUUUGGUAAAAGUUCUUUGGAAUAGGACAUCAUAGAGGGUGAGAAUCCCGUAUUUGACCUUUACUUUCAACUUUGUGAUACACUUUCAAAGAGUCGGAUUGUUUGGGAAUGCAGUCCAAAAUGGGUGGUAAAUUUCAUCUAAAGCUAAAUAUUGGCGAGAGACCGAUAGCGAACAAGUACCGUGAGGGAAAGAUGAAAAGAACUUUGAAAGGAGAGUUAAACAGUACGUGAAAUUGUCAAAAGGGAAGCGUUUGACACCAGUGUUGUUUUUCUGAAAAUCAAUUAAAGAACUGUUUAUGCUAAGUUGUUUAGACUUUAUCAGCUAACUGUUUAGUUUUGAGCUUUUCUUUAAUGCACUUUUCAGUUAACAAGUCAACAUCAAUUUCUUUUGCUGUAAAAAAGCUUGAGGAAGGUGGCUUGAGAUUCGUCUUAAGUGUUUAUAGCCUCUUGCCUAUGCAGUCGGAGAGAUUGAGGUCUGCAGCGUAGAUCCUUCGGGGCUAAAUGCAUUUGUGCUAAGUUAUAGCAUUUUAUAGACAACUUGUUGACUAUGAUUUGUCUUGUAGCUUACUCGCUUAUGUUAUUUUACCUACGCUUAGGAUGUUGACAGCAGUAUAGACUGU
RNAcentral lists this ribosomal RNA (774 nucleotides) under uncultured Neocallimastigales. RNAcentral's name for it is "partial large subunit ribosomal RNA". It matches the Rfam family "Eukaryotic large subunit ribosomal RNA", at positions 26 to 637 of the family's 3401-position model. Lineage: Eukaryota; Fungi; Neocallimastigomycota; Neocallimastigomycetes; Neocallimastigales. The record is from RNAcentral.